Molecule: non-coding RNA, 71 nt
Organism: Phrynosoma platyrhinos (Desert horned lizard)
Lineage: Eukaryota; Metazoa; Chordata; Lepidosauria; Squamata; Phrynosomatidae
Source: the annotation of a GenBank genome assembly
GUCAACAUGGCAGAAUGGUUUGAGUGCUGGACUACAACUCUGGAGACCAGGGUUCUAUUCCCGUCUUGGCU